UGGUCCUAGCCUUGAAAUCAGUUUUUACUUUACUUAUACAUGCAAGUCUCCGCACCCCUGUGAAAACGCCCUUUAAUUCCCCCUUAGGGAAGAGGAGCUGGUAUCAGGCACAACACUUAGCCCAAAACACCUAGCUACGCCACACCCACAAGGGACCUCAGCAGUAAUAAACAUUGAACAUAAGCGCCAGCUUGAUUCAGUUAAAGUAAAAAGGGCAGGCAAAUUUGGUGCCAGCCGCCGCGGUUACACCAUGUGGCCCAAAUUGACUUCUUUCGGCGUAAAGAGUGAUUAAAGUAAUUUUAUUCUGUAGUUUAACUAAAAUUAAGUUGUGACAAGCUUAUAUUUAGGACAUUCAAAAACGAAAGUUACUACACCCAAAACAACUUGAACUCACAAUAGCUAAGAAACAAACUAGGAUUAGAGACCCUACUAUGCUUAGCCACAAACUUUUAA
Molecule: ribosomal RNA, 453 nt
Filed under: Boana joaquini
Lineage: Eukaryota; Metazoa; Chordata; Amphibia; Anura; Hylidae
Description: partial 12S ribosomal RNA
Rfam family: Bacterial small subunit ribosomal RNA
Source: RNAcentral